This 72-nucleotide transfer RNA is filed under the name Camelus bactrianus (Bactrian camel). It matches the Rfam family "tRNA". From Rfam's summary of the family: Transfer RNA (tRNA) molecules are approximately 80 nucleotides in length. Their secondary structure includes four short double-helical elements and three loops (D, anti-codon, and T loops). RNAcentral also lists the same sequence under 1 other name. Lineage: Eukaryota; Metazoa; Chordata; Mammalia; Artiodactyla; Camelidae. The record is from Rfam by way of RNAcentral.
GUAGGUAUAGCCCAGUGGUAGAGUGCAUGCUUAGCAUGCAUGAAGUCCUGGGUUUAAUCCCCAGUACUUUCA